CUAGUUGGUAAGGUAAAGGCUUCCCAAGGGGACGAUGGGUAGCCGCCCUAAGAGGGUGGCCCGCCCCACCUGGGACUGAGACCCGGCCCAGAUUCCUACGGGAGGCAGCAGUAGGGAAUUUUCCCCAAUGGGCGAAAGCCUGAGGGAGCAACGCCGCGUGAGGGAAGAAGGCUUUCGGGUUGUAAAGUUCAGUCACUCGGGAAGAGGACCUUACGAGUGGAAAGCCUUAGGGGAGACGGUACCGAGGGAGGAAGCCCCGGCAAACUACGUGCCAGCAGCCGCGGUAAUACGUAGGGGGCAAGCGUUGUCCGGAAUCACUGGGCGUAAAGCGUGCGUAGGCGGUUUUUUGGGUCUGGGGUGAAAGUUCAGGGCUCAACCUUGAGAAUGCCUUGGAAACUAGAAGACUUGAGUGCUGGAGAGGCAAGGGGAAUUCCACAUGUAGCGGUGAAAUGCGUAGAGAUGUGGAGGAAUACCAGUGGCGAAGGCGCCUUGCUGGACAGUGACUGACGCUGAGGCACGAAAGCGUGGGGAGCAAACAGGAUUAGAUACCCUGGUAGUCCACGCCGUAAACGAUGAGUGCUAGGUGUUGGGGGGUCAUACUCUCAGUGCCGAAGGAAACCCAAUAAGCACUCCGCCUGGGGAGUACGGUCGCAAGACUGAAACUCAAAGGAAUUGACGGGGGCCCGCACAAGCAGUGGAGCAUGUGGUUUAAUUCGAAGCAACGCGAAGAACCUUACCAGGGCUUGACAUCCCUCUGACCGGUACAGAGAUGGACCUUCCCUCCGGGGCAGAGGAGACAGGUGGUGCAUGGUUGUCGUCAGCUCGUGUCGUGAGAUGUUGGGUUAAGUCCCGCAACGAGCGCAACCCUUGAUCUGUGUUACCAGCACGUGAUGGUGGGGACUCACAGGUGACUGCCGGCGUAAGUCGGAGGAAGGUGGGGAUGACGUCAAAUCAUCAUGCCCUUUAUGUCCUGGGCGACACACGUGCUACAAUGGGCGGUACAACGGGAAGCGAGACCGCGAGGUGGAGCGAAACCUAAAAGCCGUUCGUAGUUCGGAUUGCAGGCUGCAACCCGCCUGCAUGAAGCCGGAAUUGCUAGUGAUCGCGGAUCAGCAUGCCGCGGUGAAUCCGUUCCCGGGCCUUGUACACACCGCCC
This 1156-nucleotide ribosomal RNA is filed under the name uncultured bacterium. RNAcentral describes it as "bacterial SSU rRNA". It matches the Rfam family "Bacterial small subunit ribosomal RNA", at positions 245 to 1395 of the family's 1533-position model. The record is from RNAcentral.